CCUUGAUGGAUAAGUCCAAUGACUCAAUAGCAGCGCGAAAUUGAGUUUCUUGUCUGGUGGAUCUGAUCUAUAAUUAAGGAAAGUACACACCGAAAGGUGAUCCCCUUUGUACUUCAAAAAUACUCGAUCCAGAGAUUAAAAAAAAAAUUAAAUUUUCUGCUAGAUCUCGUAUUUUUCUAGGAUUGUAGUUCAAUUUGACAGAGCAUCUCCUUGUCAAGGCGAUAGCUACGGGUUCCAGCCCAGUCAGUCACGAUGGAAAUACUUAGUCAACUUUCUUUACGAUAUGUCAAUGCCCAUAUGAUUUUAGCUUCAACUGAGCAGCAACUUAGAUUUUUCUAGCACUAGGUUCGACCUUCGAAAGACCCUGCAAUAGAAUCCCAAAAUUUUCCUCCACAAGUUCAAAUCCGAAGACAAAAUCGAUCUUAGCUCCACAAUUUAAAAACCAAUUGAAUUUCAAAUAGCAAAACCAAAUAAAUCCGGGCAUCUACCUUGAAAACCUUGAAUGUUAUCGAGUGCAUAUAUGGACUUGCAAACUCUGUGAAUCGUUCCUGGAGUUUCAACUGCAUAUUUCAAAGUACAUGAAUUAUUCAUGGAGUUUGAACUCAUAAAUAUUCAAACUCCACUAAUCGUUCUUAGAGUUCUUCCGUGUUUUAAGUAAGGGUAUUUUCA
RNAcentral lists this long non-coding RNA (669 nucleotides) under Nicotiana tabacum (common tobacco). RNAcentral describes it as "long non-coding RNA (NTAB_LNC011606)". Lineage: Eukaryota; Viridiplantae; Streptophyta; Magnoliopsida; Solanales; Solanaceae. The record is from RNAcentral.